Molecule: ribosomal RNA, 253 nt
Filed under: uncultured bacterium
Lineage: Bacteria
Description: partial 16S ribosomal RNA
Rfam family: Bacterial small subunit ribosomal RNA
Source: RNAcentral
UACGUAGGGGCCAAGCGUUGUCCGGAUUUAUUGGGCGUAAAGAGCGUGUAGGCGGCCAGGUAGGUCUGCUGUGAAAACUCGAGGCUUAACCUCGAGAUGUCAUCGGAAACCAUCUGGCUAGAGUCCGGAAGAGGAGAGUGGAAUUCCUGGUGUAGCGGUGAAAUGCGCAGAUAUCAGGAAGAACACCAAUGGCGAAAGCAGCUCUCUGGGACGGUACUGACGCUGAGACGCGAAAGCGUGGGGAGCGAACAGG